Lycium barbarum (goji berry) is the source of this 106-nucleotide small nucleolar RNA. RefSeq annotates it as small nucleolar RNA Z279/snoR105/snoR108. The transcript has a single exon. The record is from RefSeq and is a predicted model, not a curated record. Lineage: Eukaryota; Viridiplantae; Streptophyta; Magnoliopsida; Solanales; Solanaceae.
GGGAUGUGAUGAGUGGCCAUUGCUCGCAUUAAAUAUGCGAGAAGAGCGUCCAGGCCCAGCCUGGUUACAACAAUUUGGGUGCUCUCAUUUUAACCAAUCUGAUCCC